GGUUCCGAAGUGAUUGAUACCAAGCUUCCAGGAAAAGCCACUAAGCUUCAGUCUAGAGUUGACCGUACCGCAAACCGACACAGGUGGGCAGGAUGAAAAUUCUAAGGCGCUUGAGAGAACUCAGGAGAAGGAACUCGGCAAAUUAACACCGUAACUUCGGGAGAAGGUGUGCCCCGGUAGCGUGUAGAGACUUGCUCUCGAAGCGCGAUGGGGUUGCAGUGAAAUGGUGGCUGCGACUGUUUAAUAAAAACACAGCACUCUGCAAACACGAAAGUGGACGUAUAGGGUGUGACGCCUGCCCGGUGCCGGAAGGUUAAGUGAUGGGGUGCAAGCUCUUGAUCGAAGCCCCGGUAAACGGCGGCCGUAACAAUAACGGUCCUAAGGUAGCGAAAUUCCUUGUCGGGUAAGUUCCGACCUGCACGAAUGGCGUAACGAUGGCCACACUGUCUCCUCCUGGGACUCAGCGAAGUUGAAAUGUUCGUGAAGAUGCAAUCUACCCGCGGCUAGACGGAAAGACCCCAUGAACCUUUACUGUAGCUUUGCAUUGGACUUUGAACCGGUUUGUGUAGGAUAGGUGGGAGACUGUGAAGCCGGGACGCUAGUUUCGGUGGAGUCAACCUUGAAAUACCACCCUGAUUUGUUUGAGGUUCUAACCUUGGUCCGUGAAUCCGGAUCGGGGACCGUGCAUGGUAGGCAGUUUGACUGGGGCGGUCUCCUCCCAAAAGGUAACGGAGGAGUACGAAGGUACGCUUAGGGCGGUCGGACAUCGCCCACAAAGUGCAAUGGCAAAAGCGUGCUUGACUGCGAGACCCACAAGUCGAGCAGGUACGAAAGUAGGUCAUAGUGAUCCGGUGGUUCUGUAUGGAAGGGCCAUCGCUCAACGGAUAAAAGGUACUCUGGGGAUAACAGGCUAAUUCCUCCCAAGAGUUCAUAUCGACGGGGGAGUUUGGCACCUCGAUGUCGGCUCAUCACAUCCUGGGGCUGUAGUCGGUCCCAAGGGUAUGGCUGUUCGCCAUUUAAAGUGGUACGCGAGCUGGGUUUAAAACGUCGUGAGACAGUUUGGUCCCUAUCUGCCGUGGGCGCUGGAAAUUUGAAGGGGGCUGCUCCUAGUACGAGAGGACCGGAGUGGACGAACCUCUGGUGUACCGGUUAUGACGCCAGUCGUAUCGCCGGGUAGCUAAGUUCGGAAGAGAUAAACGCUGAAAGCAUCUAAGCGUGAAACUCGCCUUAAGAUAAGAUUUCCCGGAGUCUUGAACUCCCUGAAGGGUCGUCGAAGACCACGACGUUGAUAGGUCAGGUGUGGAAGCGCAGCAAUGCGUUAAGCUAACUGAUACUAAUUGCCCGUGCGGCUUGAU
Molecule: ribosomal RNA, 1355 nt
Filed under: metagenome
Description: bacterial LSU rRNA
Rfam family: Bacterial large subunit ribosomal RNA
Source: RNAcentral